Prunus persica (peach) is the source of this 1230-nucleotide long non-coding RNA. RefSeq lists it as uncharacterized. NCBI's taxonomy places the organism in Eukaryota, Viridiplantae, Streptophyta, Magnoliopsida, Rosales, Rosaceae. The transcript has 7 exons. The record is from RefSeq and is a predicted model, not a curated record.
AUAACCCUAUCAGACUCUCUCUCACACUCACUCGCCCGUCUCUCUCUCUCUCUCUCACUCACUCACGAAACGAAACCCUAUUUCUCUCCCGAUCUGAGACUAACCCUCACCUCAUCGGCCGCCGUCGGUGCGCGCUCUCUGUCUCUCUCUCGACUCGUCCCUUGGCUCUCUCUCACUCUUCACAUCUUUAAGUCUCUUAGAGUCGCGCGAGACUCAUUCUCUUUCUCCAAACCGAACCAAACAUCAUCCAAUUUUAUUGGUUUUUGGAGCGAAUCCUUGUAAAUUCUGGAGGGCUCUGGUUCAUUCUAAGUAGUUGUGCUUAGUCUCUGUGGGUUUGGAUUAAUAGGCAAAAUUGAAGGCAUUCUCUUAUUAUCCCAAAAUCUCAUUUUUGUUCGUUGAAAGCCACACCCCCAGAUUUUUGGUUUGGUUUAAAGCGUGCAAAUCUUGAUUUGUUGGGUUGUGGUUUGCGAUGAUGAGAUGAAACACUGGACGUGUUUUGGGCAGUGGACAAGCUCAUUUGGUAUUCUUUAUUCUUUGAUUACAAUUGGACGUGAUUCCAUUACAUUCAUUAAGCAACGAAACCCUGAAAGGAUCUCUCUCCCUCUCUGUAUUCUUUGAUUCAUUUGGUAGAAACCCGUUCGUUUUUAGAGGCAAAAGAAGCAUUGUGAAGUGGGCAUAAGCCAUGGCAGCUCCUAAACCAGAAGAGAUAAGCCAUCCACCAAUGGACCAACUUCAAGACUUAGAGUACUGCAUUGACUCAAACCCAUCUUGGGGGGAAUCAAUAGCUUUGGGUUUCUAGCACUACAUUUUGUCCUUAGGAACUGCUGUGAUGAUCCCAUCCUUCCUUGUUCCUUUUAUGGGUGGCACUGAUCAAAAAGGAAAAGGCUUUAGUGAAUAGCAAAAAUGUUGAAGAUAUGUUGGAAGGUUGCUUUGUGAAGGCUUUUGGAAGAAUGGAUGCAUCAUAUUUUUUGCAAGGAUAUUAUCUCUAUGUGUAUUUUUGUGAUGGGUUGUAAUCUUUAAUGUCAUAAGUUUAAUUUGGUUUGUGUAUUAUUUUUUGUAAUGGUUUGUAAGAGAUUAUAUUUCCUUUCUUGGUUGGUUGGUUGGUUGAAUGUGUGUAUGUGAGAUUUAUUUAGUUUAGAAACUUAGAUUGGAAUGAUGGAUUUUUAUAGCUUGAAUGUACAUAAUUUCAGGUUUUGAAAGAGAAGUAAAAAGUGUUUUGGGCUUGUUCAU